UUUGAAGAGAGAGUUCAAUAGUACGUGAAACUGCUUAGAGGUAAAGGAACGGACCCUCGAAAUCCUGCGGCGGGAGUAUUCAGUCGAACGUUGUCUCAUUCGAAGUGGUUCUUCUAUCCUUACUGAACACGUUUUUUUUAAGCGAGUUCGAAGGCGAGUCCAUAGUUUUGGGCCCAGAUCGAAAGAGCGAUUGACGACGCAUUUGCUUCCCGUCCGAUGGACGUCGCAACCGAUUGAAAGACGGCCUUAAAGGUAGUCGAUGGCAGGUACCUGACUUGAGUUUCCCUUUCGGGGGUAGAUUCGUUAGUAUUAUAGCCGGUUACUGCCGCAUGGCUCGUCAUUCGAUCGAGGUAUCCCAAUUGUCCGGUCGCCGGACACUAUCGUCUCCUCUCCAUUUCGGAAUCCGGUCCAAAACAGGCGUCAUAGGAGUUUAAAUGGUCGGCGUGGCACACGGGCACGACCCCGUGGCUCGUUUGAUCAUACUCCUUGUUGGAUGCCGUGGGAUCCGUUGGAGCGCUGGCGGUUGGCGACGAGUAGAUCGGUCAUCCGUUCCACCC
Molecule: ribosomal RNA, 557 nt
Filed under: Mysmena sp. MYSM-010-MEX
Lineage: Eukaryota; Metazoa; Arthropoda; Arachnida; Araneae; Mysmenidae
Description: eukaryotic LSU rRNA
Source: RNAcentral